This 1070-nucleotide ribosomal RNA is filed under the name Agaricaceae sp. 762. RNAcentral describes it as "eukaryotic LSU rRNA". The stretch from base 789 to 1070 matches the Rfam family "Eukaryotic large subunit ribosomal RNA", at positions 1 to 276 of the family's 3401-position model. Lineage: Eukaryota; Fungi; Basidiomycota; Agaricomycetes; Agaricales; Agaricaceae. The record is from RNAcentral.
CUGCCCUUGUACACACCGCCCGUCGCUACUACCGAUUGAAUGGCUUAGUAGGUCUCCGGAUUGGCGGUGGGGAGCCGGCAACGGCACCCUAUUGCUGAGAAGCUGAUCAAACUUGGUCAUUUAGAGGAAGUAAAAGUCGUAACAAGGUUUCCGUAGGUGAACCUGCGGAAGGAUCCUUAACGAAUAACCUAUGGUGUCUUGGUUGUAGCUGGCUCUUCGGAGCAAUGUGCACGCCCGCCAUUUUUAUCUUUCCACCUGUGCACCGACUGUAGGUCUGGAUACCUCUCGUCUCUCUCUUGAGAGGCGGAUGUGGGGAUUGCUCGUAAGGGCUCUCCUCAAAUUUCCAGGCUCUACGUCUUUUUACACACCCCAAUAGUAUGAUGUAGAAUGUAGUCAAUGGGCUUCUUAGCCUAUAAAACACUAUACAACUUUCAGCAACGGAUCUCUUGGCUCUCGCAUCGAUGAAGAACGCAGCGAAAUGCGAUAAGUAAUGUGAAUUGCAGAAUUCAGUGAAUCAUCGAAUCUUUGAACGCACCUUGCGCUCCUUGGUAUUCCGAGGAGCAUGCCUGUUUGAGUGUCAUUAAAUUCUCAACCUCACCAGUUUUCUAAACUGUUCUUCGAGGCUUGGAUGUGGGGGUUUGUGCAGGCUGCCUUUCUGGCGGUCUGCUCCCCUGAAAUGCAUUAGCGAGUUCAUACUGAGCUCCGUCUAUUGGUGUGAUAAUUAUCUACGCCGUGGACGAGGUUCAGACUUGCUUCUAACCGUCCGCAAGGACAAUACCUUGACAAUUUGACCUCAAAUCAGGUAGGACUACCCGCUGAACUUAAGCAUAUCAAUAAGCGGAGGAAAAGAAACUAACAAGGAUUCCCCUAGUAACUGCGAGUGAAGCGGGAAAAGCUCAAAUUUAAAAUCUGGCGGUCUUUGGCCGUCCGAGUUGUAAUCUAGAGAAGUGUUACCCGCGUCGGACCGUGUACAAGUCUCCUGGAAUGGAGCGUCAUAGAGGGUGAGAAUCCCGUCUUUGACACGGACUACCGAGGCUUUGUGGUGCGCUCUCAAAGAGUCGAGUUGUUGG